GGGCAGCUGAAAGUUUAUUGGAAGAUAAGUAGGGAGGAUAAAAGUCUGGGUGAGGUUGGCUCUUUCAGGGUGAAAUUGUGAAGUCUGUUAGUUUAUGGUAGGGUCAAGCUUGGUCAGAGGGUUCUGAUUCUUUGGAUUCUGGGGGAUAAAAUAGGAUUAGAUACCCUACUAUACCCAGUUGGAAAUGUUUAUUUCCGGAGUAGUAAACAGAUAUGAUCUCGAAACUCAAAGGAUUUGGCGGUAUCUAAGUCUAGUUAGAGGAACUUGCACAGUAAACGAUAGUCCGCGAGAAUCUAGCCCUGGUUUGUAAUUUCUCAGUCUGUAUACCGCCAUUAUUAGAUAAUUCCGGUAGGGGUUUAUUGUAAUAAGGUUUGCUUAGGAUAUUAGGUCAAGGUGCAGCUUAUACUAGGGAUGUUGUGAGUUACAUUGGAAUAAGUGUGUAAACGGAUAGGGUGAGGGAGGAGUCGUCCUUGAAGGUGGAUUUAAUAGUAAUAUGGUGUAAAUGUCACUCGUAUGAUAGGGGCUCUUGGAUAUGUACACAUCGCCCGUCGCCCUCACUUU
Molecule: ribosomal RNA, 561 nt
Filed under: Alpheus saxidomus
Lineage: Eukaryota; Metazoa; Arthropoda; Malacostraca; Decapoda; Alpheidae
Description: partial small subunit ribosomal RNA
Rfam family: Bacterial small subunit ribosomal RNA
Source: RNAcentral